UACUAAGUGUCAAUGGAAAAGAAAAUGUAUUCAAAAUACAUAAAUCAAAACUAGAAGAUGGAAAAAAAGAUUUAUUCUAUACAAAGCCUUGUCUGGACCACUCUAGAGAGACUUCUAUUUUUUUAAACCCUCUAUAAAUAUUUGAUGGCACUAGAAAUAUUCCUGCAAUAAAAUGUGAUUUGUGUAAAGAAAAAAAAAAGAUUUUGUAAUGUGAAACAAAGAAAGAAAGUAAUGUAAUUUUCUAAAAAAAAAAAUACAAACAAACAAACUUUGUAUUAUUUUCUUGAUGGAAUUUGCCUAUCUGUCUUUGGAAAACUUUUUAUUUCAUUGAAUGUGCCAUAGUAGAUGUACAUGCUUUUUGUUUUAGACUAAGGGAUGGCUGUUUGUGUUCCGACAUUCCAAAAUGCAAAGCAACUUAGCAGAAGCCUUGAUGAGGAGGUUUCGGUAGGAUGCAAGCGUCUCUCCUUGUUGCUUUUUUUGCACAAGUCUUUUUAAUUCUUACCUAGUGCAAUAUCUGUACAUAGAGCACUUGCGGGUGUACUUUGAUCCCUCAGGGAAAAACACAUAUUUGUACAGUUGUUGGGUUUGUUUUGGUUUUCUUGUUUGUUGUUUGAUUUAUUUUCCUUUUUCGUUCUUUGGCUAUGGAAUGUCGAUCGAAUCACUUGUUAUUGUUGAGAGGCAGCCAGAUAAUCAGCCUAAAGCCACUGUUUCAAACACCGAUUGUUUGAGUCAUGUCUUUCCAGUACUAUUAUUUUAAAAUGAUAUUAAUAAUAAUAAUAAUAAUAAAAAGCUAUUUUCUGACAGUUCUUUGUGCUGACUGGUAGAAAAAAUGGUAAAAAAAUAAUAAUAGUAAUAAGCACCUUAUGGUUGACUUACUGUGAACGACAAUCCAUCUUGGUGUCAAGGACAGAGCCCUGUUAUCUGGAGUUGGGGCUGAGAGUCAGAAACACUGUGCUCAGGGAACUUCUAAAACUCUUAAAACAGGGUGGCCAGUGGACUGGGACAAAUUGUGGUUUUACUAUUAAAAACAAUGAUGGUAACAGUAUCCCUCCAAAGGCACAAGCGAACUGUAGAGAAGUGUCUGUCUGUCUGUCUGUGUGAAUUCUUCACCGUCUCAUCUUGUUGAGUUCGAAAUUCUUGUGUUUCAAAACACAUUAACUCCUGAGGCAGUGUGAAUGGAAGAUGAAUCCGGAAGUGACAUCCCAGUAGGGGAACACAGUGCAGCCCAUCUGCUGGCUUCCUAAGAAAUUAAGAUGCUCCUGUGAAACACACCUUUCAACAAUUUCAGAUUCUCUGUAGUAGGAAUUUAGAUGUUUUUUAAACCAGCAGGAAGACCUAUCAGUGAAAUGGCCCCCAACAAAGUCCUUCUGAACUAGAAAACAAAGGGGUUUUUCACUGUAUUCUCCUCCAGGGGCAAACCACAAUCCUGUUAUGCAAAACAAUUCCUAUUCCCCAUCCCUAGCUUUUUUGAUUUGGGGGAGGGGGAGUGUUUGUUUGUUUUCCUGGAAGAGUUGCCCUUGAAAGACUAAUUGGUCCCUGCAUGACAGACCAUCGCUUUAGUUUAAGGGAUCCAUGCUCUGAGCUGCAGUUCAGUUCACAAGGUCCCACGCACCACUUUCCAUAAGGCCAGAGAAGCUUAGAGUAGCUCAUGGUUCUGAGUCUCCCGCCCCAUAAAACACACUUGGCAGAAUUACAGAGCUUCUUAUUACAGUAGGAGAGCACAAAGUAUGAGAAGUCUGUCCAUUAGGUGACAGUUGAUACUUCACACGUAUUUGGAGUGUAGGUGACAGAAAUCUCCCCCCCCCCCCUUUACCUCUCCAUACAUACAUACACAUGCACAUGUGACAGACAUUCUUACAUACCAUCACAGGGCCACUGCUUACUCAAAGUUGUGAUGCAGAACCCCACAACAGCAGCCUUUUACUGCGGAUCAGAUAUGUGCCCAAAAAAUGCAGUUGCAACAGUCAAAUACUGGUCGACUGUUGCUCUCUGUCAUGCUGGUCUUCAUUCGAUUCCUUAAACACUAAUGCAUGAAAUGCUUCCACCAGCUUUGAUGAUAGCGACCUCCCCACUGCUGUUAAACUAAUGAGAAGGCCAGCUGUCAAUGUCUUCAAAAGCGAUCGUGUGUGUGUGUGUGUGUGUGUGUGUGUGUGUGUGUGCGCGCGUGUGUGCGUGUGUGUGUGUGUGUGCGCGCGCGUGCUCGUGCGCGCACAUCUAUGCAUGCUUGUAUGUGAUCAGUUUGUCAGACUCUCAAAAUAUUUUUUUUAAAACAAACAGGAAAACUGGCUUCAUAUCAGGAAGCCAUCAUGAAUGGGGGCAGAGCAUGCUCGGCCAUACCCCAGAACUUAGAGCAAUAAACACUAUUCAGUCCCUUAUUUACUUGUAAAUGGGUGACAGAAUAUUUGAUCCAAAUAGAAACCACCUUUCCCAGGGUCUAGUGUGGAGAGUGGAGAUGAAUGUUUGGAAGAGAUCCAUGUUCUCUGUUUACAUCCUGUGUGUUCUGUUGCAUUAGCUGUCCUGUGCUUUUUCUUUGGUCUUCUAGAAGCUAAUGACAGACAGCUGGCUGUUAGCUUUAUGGGCUGUGCAUGUCAUUGUUCCCCCAGAACAACAGGCUUCUCUCCAGUGUUCACAUAUGAUCCCUUUCUCAUUCAUUGUGACUUGUGUGUAGGAGUAACUACUCCUAAGAAGAUGAUAAUCACUGAACACAUUGCAUAUGUAAAUGUAGAUACUUCUUGAGCAAUAUAGUGACUAUGACUUCACAUACACACACACACACACCAUCUGUAUGUACUGUACACAUCUUCCUGAAUCCCCAAUUCUCUGCUUAAUCAUAAUGGUUUGAAAUCUCAUCUACAACAGUGGUGGAUGUUUUAGACAGUAGGACAUUAGCUGGCUGCUUCUUUAAAUGUACCUGUAUUGUCUGCGUGCUCCUUUUGCGGAGACAAGUUUUUGUAUUGGAUGUUUGGGCCAAUGGGAGGCUUCAAGCUACAACAUAUUUUCCCAGUUUAAAUAUAUUGAACUUAUGACAAACCCCAGACAAGGCUUUUAAUCUGUAAAGAACUGCAGUGUUGGGUGGUUUAUUUACAAACCGUUUUCAAUGUUGUCCAUUUUUAUGGCACCUUUAACAAUAUACUUGUUUCCAAAGU
Molecule: long non-coding RNA, 3146 nt
Filed under: Mus musculus (house mouse)
Lineage: Eukaryota; Metazoa; Chordata; Mammalia; Rodentia; Muridae
Description: long non-coding RNA chr9:69382635-69385781
Source: RNAcentral